GUUUCAGCCGCCGCGGUAAUACGAAGGGGGCUAGCGUUGUUCGGAAUUACUGGGCGUAAAGGGCGCGUAGGCGGCCCUGUUAGUCGUGUGUGAAAGGCCUGGGCUCAACCCAGGAACUGCGCACGAUACGGCAGGGCUAGAGUGUGGGAGAGGUUGGUGGAAUUCCCAGUGUAGAGGUGAAAUUCGUAGAUAUUGGGAAGAACACCGGUGGCGAAGGCGGCCAACUGGACCACAACUGACGCUGAGGCGCGAAAGCGUGGGGAGCAAACAGGAUUAGAUACCCCCGUAGUCC
RNAcentral lists this ribosomal RNA (292 nucleotides) under uncultured bacterium. RNAcentral's name for it is "partial 16S ribosomal RNA". It matches the Rfam family "Bacterial small subunit ribosomal RNA", at positions 505 to 796 of the family's 1533-position model. The record is from RNAcentral.